This 1439-nucleotide ribosomal RNA is filed under the name uncultured organism. RNAcentral's name for it is "16S ribosomal RNA". It matches the Rfam family "Bacterial small subunit ribosomal RNA". The record is from RNAcentral.
CAGGCUUAACACAUGCAAGUCGAGGGGCAGCAUGGUCUUAGCUUGCUAAGGCCGAUGGCGACCGGCGCACGGGUGAGUAACACGUAUCCAACCUGCCGUCUACUCUUGGACAGCCUUCUGAAAGGAAGAUUAAUACAAGAUGGCAUCAUGAGUCCGCAUGUUCACAUGAUUAAAGGUAUUCCGGUAGACGAUGGGGAUGCGUUCCAUUAGAUAGUAGGCGGGGUAACGGCCCACCUAGUCUUCGAUGGAUAGGGGUUCUGAGAGGAAGGUCCCCCACAUUGGAACUGAGACACGGUCCAAAUUCCUACGGGAGGCAGCAGUGAGGAAUAUUGGUCAAUGGGCGAGAGCCUGAACCAGCCAAGUAGCGUGAAGGAUGACUGCCCUAUGGGUUGUAAACUUCUUUUAUAAAGGAAUAAAGUCGGGUAUGGAUACCCGUUUGCAUGUACUUUAUGAAUAAGGAUCGGCUAACUCCGUGCCAGCAGCCGCGGUAAUACGGAGGAUCCGAGCGUUAUCCGGAUUUAUUGGGUUUAAAGGGAGCGUAGAUGGAUGUUUAAGUCAGUUGUGAAAGUUUGCGGCUCAACCGUAAAAUUGCAGUUGAUACUGGAUAUCUUGAGUGCAGUUGAGGCAGGCGGAAUUCGUGGUGUAGCGGUGAAAUGCUUAGAUAUCACGAAGAACUCCGAUUGCGAAGGCAGCCUGCUAAGCUGCAACUGACAUUGAGGCUCGAAAGUGUGGGUAUCAAACAGGAUUAGAUACCCUGGUAGUCCACACGGUAAACGAUGAAUACUCGCUGUUUGCGAUAUACUGCAAGCGGCCAAGCGAAAGCGUUAAGUAUUCCACCUGGGGAGUACGCCGGCAACGGUGAAACUCAAAGGAAUUGACGGGGGCCCGCACAAGCGGAGGAACAUGUGGUUUAAUUCGAUGAUACGCGAGGAACCUUACCCAGGCUUAAAUUGCAGAUGAAUUACGGUGAAAGCCGUAAGCCGCAAGGCAUCUGUGAAGGUGCUGCAUGGUUGUCGUCAGCUCGUGCCGUGAGGUGUCGGCUUAAGUGCCAUAACGAGCGCAACCCUUGUUGUCAGUUACUAACAGGUUCCGCUGAGGACUCUGACAAGACUGCCAUCGUAAGAUGUGAGGAAGGUGGGGAUGACGUCAAAUCAGCACGGCCCUUACGUCCGGGGCUACACACGUGUUACAAUGGGGGGUACAGAGGGCCGCUACCACGCGAGUGGAUGCCAAUCCCAAAAACCUCUCUCAGUUCGGACUGGAGUCUGCAACCCGACUCCACGAAGCUGGAUUCGCUAGUAAUCGCGCAUCAGCCACGGCGCGGUGAAUACGUUCCCGGGCCUUGUACACACCGCCCGUCAAGCCAUGGGAGCCGGGGGUACCUGAAGUGCGUAACCGCGAGGAGCGCCCUAGGGUAAAACUGGUGACUGGGGCUAAGU